RNAcentral lists this ribosomal RNA (425 nucleotides) under uncultured bacterium. RNAcentral's name for it is "partial 16S ribosomal RNA". It matches the Rfam family "Bacterial small subunit ribosomal RNA", at positions 354 to 796 of the family's 1533-position model. The record is from RNAcentral.
GUGGGGAAUCUUGCGCAAUGGGCGAAAGCCUGACGCAGCCAUGCCGCGUGAAUGAUGAAGGUCUUAGGAUUGUAAAAUUCUUUCACCGGGGACGAUAAUGACGGUACCCGGAGAAGAAGCUCCGACUAACUUCGUGCCAGCAGCCGCGGUAAUACGAAGGGGGCUAGCGUUGCUCGGAAUUACUGGGCGUAAAGGGCGCGUAGGCGGACAGCUUAGUCAGAGGUGAAAGCCCAGGGCUCAACCUUGGAAUUGCCUUUGAUACUGGCUGUCUUGAGUUUGGGAGAGGUGAGUGGAACUCCGAGUGUAGAGGUGAAAUUCGUAGAUAUUCGGAAGAACACCAGUGGCGAAGGCGACUCACUGGCCCAAUACUGACGCUGAGGCGCGAAAGCGUGGGGAGCAAACAGGAUUAGAAACCCCUGUAGUCC